Mesocricetus auratus (golden hamster) is the source of this 73-nucleotide non-coding RNA. NCBI's taxonomy places the organism in Eukaryota, Metazoa, Chordata, Mammalia, Rodentia, Cricetidae. The record is from Rfam.
UUGGAAAUAGCUUAGUUGGAAAAGCACUUGCCUUGCAAGCAUGGAGACCUGAGUCUGAUCCUAAGUGUCCACG